Molecule: long non-coding RNA, 317 nt
Filed under: Mytilus galloprovincialis (Mediterranean mussel)
Lineage: Eukaryota; Metazoa; Mollusca; Bivalvia; Mytilida; Mytilidae
Source: RNAcentral
AAAAUUUCGCAAUUUUCAUUGAAAAAGGUAUACAAAUUAUUUUGGCAGUUAUUAUUUUGGCGGAUUCUAAACUUUUAUCAAUACUUUGCAUGUACACUUUUAAAUUGGCGGCAUUUAUUUUGGUGAUUGUGUUCUGUCUGCAAAAAUAGCCAACUAUGCGGUAUUUACAGUCUUUUAAUUAGAAGGAAAGGCUAUAAUAUCAUAUGCUAGGGUGCAUGAGACCUGUUGCCUUGAUAUUAUGAUAGAUUUAUUUUCGAGCCUGUGACUUGUCUCAAAAAGCUUGACAUAGGGAUAAUGUUAUGAGAGCAAUGGGGGCG